This 523-nucleotide ribosomal RNA is filed under the name uncultured bacterium. Its description in RNAcentral is "partial 16S ribosomal RNA". It matches the Rfam family "Bacterial small subunit ribosomal RNA", at positions 28 to 523 of the family's 1533-position model. The record is from RNAcentral.
GACGAACGCUGGCGGCGUGCCUAUUACAUGCAAGUCGAACGCUUUUUCUUUCACCGGAGCCUGCUCCACCGAGAGAAAAAGAGUGGCGAACGGGUGAGUAACACGUGGGUAAUCUGCCCAUCAGAAGGGGAUAACACUUGGAAACAGGUGCUAAUACCGUAUAACACUAUUUUCCGCAUGGAAGAAAGUUUAAAGGCGCUUUUGCGUCACUGAUGGAUGGACCCGCGGUGCAUUAGCUAGUUGGUGAGGUAACGGCUCACCAAGGCAACGAUGCAUAGCCGACCUGAGAGGGUGAUCGGCCACACUGGGACUGAGACACGGCCCAGACUCCUACGGGAGGCAGCAGUAGGGAAUCUUCGGCAAUGGACGAAAGUCUGACCGAGCAACGCCGCGUGAGUGAAGAAGGUUUUCGGAUCGUAAAACUCUGUUGUUAGAGAAGAACAAGGAUGAGAGUAGAACGUUCAUCCCUUGACGGUAUCUAACCAGAAAGCCACGGCUAACUACGUGCCAGCAGCCGCUGUAA